CAGCAGCCACGGGAAUACGAAGGGUGCAAGCGUUACUCGGAAUUACUGGGCGUAAAGCGUGCGUAGGUGGUGGUUUAAGUCCGUUGUGAAAGCCCUGGGCUCAACCUGGGAAUUGCAGUGGAUACUGGGUCACUAGAGUGUGGUAGAGGAUAGUGGAAUUUCCGGUGUAGCAGUGAAAUGCGUAGAGAUCGGAAGGAACAUCUGUGGCGAAGGCGACUAUCUGGGCCAACACUGACACUGAGGUACGAAAGCAUGGGGAGCAAACAGGAUUAGAUACCCGUGUAGUCCCUGUCUCUUAUAA
RNAcentral lists this ribosomal RNA (301 nucleotides) under uncultured bacterium. RNAcentral describes it as "partial 16S ribosomal RNA". It matches the Rfam family "Bacterial small subunit ribosomal RNA", at positions 509 to 809 of the family's 1533-position model. The record is from RNAcentral.